UGGGGAAUCUUAGACAAUGGGGGAAACCCUGAUCUAGCCAUGCCGCGUGAGCGAUGAAGGCCUUAGGGUUGUAAAGCUCUUUCAGCUGGGAAGAUAAUGACGGUACCAGCAGAAGAAGCCCCGGCUAACUCCGUGCCAGCAGCCGCGGUAAUACGGAGGGGCUAGCGUUGUUCGGAAUUACUGGGCGUAAAGCGCACGUAGGCGGAUUAGUCAGUCAGAGGUGAAAUCCCAGGGCUCAACCCUGGAACUGCCUUUGAUACUGCUAGUCUUGAGGUCGAGAGAGGUGAGUGGAAUUCCGAGUGUAGAGGUGAAAUUCGUAGAUAUUCGGAGGAACACCAGUGGCGAAGGCGGCUCACUGGCUCGAUACUGACGCUGAGGUGCGAAAGCGUGGGGAGCAAAACAGGAUUAGAUACCCUGGUAGUCCACGCCGUAAACGAUGAAUGCCAGUCGUCGGGUUGCAUGCAAUUCGGUGACACACCUAAACGGAUUAAAGCAUUCCGCCUGGGGAGUACGGUCGCAAGAUUAAAACUUAAAGGAAUUGACGGGGUCAUAGCUGUUUCCUG
RNAcentral lists this ribosomal RNA (563 nucleotides) under uncultured bacterium. RNAcentral's name for it is "partial 16S ribosomal RNA". It matches the Rfam family "Bacterial small subunit ribosomal RNA", at positions 355 to 1376 of the family's 1533-position model. The record is from RNAcentral.